GGCGAAACUUAAAAAUUUCUAACUCCAGUAUCAAAUCCCGUGCUUACCAAUCAAUAGUGAGACCAAAACUCGAAUAUGCCUGUAGUCUAUGGGAUCCACACACAGCAGAUUAUAAAAAUAAGCUAGAAAUGGUACAGAGGCGUGCGGCCCGAUAUGUAUGUAACAAUUACCACAACACCAGUAGCGUUACAUCCAUGUUAAACGAACUACAAUGGCCCUCACUCAGUGAGCGCCGCCUCAAAACCAGACUUAUC
Molecule: long non-coding RNA, 254 nt
Filed under: Mytilus galloprovincialis (Mediterranean mussel)
Lineage: Eukaryota; Metazoa; Mollusca; Bivalvia; Mytilida; Mytilidae
Source: RNAcentral